This 41-nucleotide transfer RNA is filed under the name Canis lupus (wolf). RNAcentral's name for it is "partial tRNA-Leu". The record is from RNAcentral. Lineage: Eukaryota; Metazoa; Chordata; Mammalia; Carnivora; Canidae.
GUUAGGGUGGCAGAGCCCGGUAACUGCGUAAAACUUAAACC